AAGCACCGGCUAACUCCGUGCCAGCAGCCGCGGUAAUACGGAGGGUGCAAGCGUUGUCCGGAUUUAUUGGGUUUAAAGGGUGCGUAGGCGGCCUUUUUAGUCACCGGUGAAAGUUUAUGGCUCAACCAUGAAAUUGCCGUUGAUACUGGGGGGCUUGAGUGCCGAUGGGGUACAUGGAAUUUAUGGUGUAGCGGUGAAAUGCAUAGAUACCAUAAGGAACACCGAUAGCGAAGGCAUUGUACAUAUCGGCAACUGACGCUGAGGCACGAAAGCGCGGGUAGCGAACAGGAUUAGAUACCCUGGUAGAGGCAC
Molecule: ribosomal RNA, 312 nt
Filed under: uncultured Echinicola sp.
Lineage: Bacteria; Pseudomonadati; Bacteroidota; Cytophagia; Cytophagales; Cyclobacteriaceae
Description: bacterial SSU rRNA
Rfam family: Bacterial small subunit ribosomal RNA
Source: RNAcentral